UGAUUUUCUUCUCUGCUUGAUACCUCC
Molecule: non-coding RNA, 27 nt
Filed under: Rattus norvegicus (Norway rat)
Lineage: Eukaryota; Metazoa; Chordata; Mammalia; Rodentia; Muridae
Source: RNAcentral